UACGGAGGGUGCAAGCGUUAUCCGGAUUCACUGGGUUUAAAGGGUGCGUAGGCGGACAGGUAAGUCAGUGGUGAAAUCUCCGAGCUUAACUCGGAAACUGCCUUUGAUACUCUCUGUCUUGAAUAUGGCGGAGGUAAGCGGAAUAUGUCAUGUAGCGGUGAAAUGCUUAGAGAUGACAUAGAACACCUAUGGCGAAGGCAGCUUACUACGCCUAUAUUGACGCUGAGGCACGAAAGCGUGGGAUCAAACAGG
This 252-nucleotide ribosomal RNA is filed under the name uncultured bacterium. Its description in RNAcentral is "partial 16S ribosomal RNA". It matches the Rfam family "Bacterial small subunit ribosomal RNA", at positions 524 to 776 of the family's 1533-position model. The record is from RNAcentral.